UUGAACGCUGGCGGCAUGCCUUACACAUGCAAGUCGAACGGCAGCACGGGAGCAAUCCUGGUGGCGAGUGGCGAACGGGUGAGUAAUGUAUCGGAACGUACCUUACAGUGGGGGAUAACGUAGCGAAAGUUACGCUAAUACCGCAUAUUCUCUGAGGAGGAAAGCAGGGGACCUUAGGGCCUUGCGCUGUUAGAGCGGCCGAUAUCAGAUUAGCUAGUUGGUGGGGUAAAAGCUCACCAAGGCGACGAUCUGUAGCGGGUCUGAGAGGAUGAUCCGCCACACUGGAACUGAGACACGGUCCAGACUCCUACGGGAGGCAGCAGUGGGGAAUUUUGGACAAUGGGCGCAAGCCUGAUCCAGCCAUGCCGCGUGAGUGAAGAAGGCCUUCGGGUUGUAAAGCUCUUUCGGCCGGGAAGAAAUCGCAUUGGUUAAUACCUGGUGUGGAUGACGGUACCGGAAUAAGAAGCACCGGCUAACUACGU
This 482-nucleotide ribosomal RNA is filed under the name uncultured bacterium. RNAcentral's name for it is "bacterial SSU rRNA". It matches the Rfam family "Bacterial small subunit ribosomal RNA", at positions 30 to 506 of the family's 1533-position model. The record is from RNAcentral.